This 501-nucleotide ribosomal RNA is filed under the name uncultured soil bacterium. Its description in RNAcentral is "bacterial SSU rRNA". It matches the Rfam family "Bacterial small subunit ribosomal RNA", at positions 94 to 633 of the family's 1533-position model. The record is from RNAcentral.
AGCGGCGAACGGUCGCGUAACACGUAAGCAACCUGCCCUGAAGUGUGGGAUAGCCCGCCGAAAGGCGGAUUAAUACCGCAUGUGGAUAUCGCAUGUAAAGCAGCGCUUCUGGAUGGGCUUGCGGCCUAUCAGCUAGUUGGUGGGGUAACGGCCUACCAAGGCGACGACGGGUAGCUGGUCUGAGAGGACGAUCAGCCGGAUUGGGACUGAGAUACGGCCCAGACUCCUACGGGGGGCAGCAAUUAGGAAUCUUGCACAAUGGGCGAAAGCCUGAUGCAGCGACGCCGCGUGAGUGAUGAAGUCUUUCGGGAUGUAAAGCUCUGUCUACAGGGAAGAAUGACGGUACCUGUAGAGAAAGCCCCGGCUAACUACGUGCCAGCAGCCGCGGUAAUACGUAGGGGGCGAGCGUUGUCCGAAUUUAUUGGGCGUAAAGCGCGUGUAGGCGGCUCUUUAAGUCAGAUGUGAAAUCCUGCGGCUCAACCGCAGAACUGCAUUUGAUAC